CGCUCACAGACAACACAACUGUGGCCUAAGUCAUCAAAAGCAUCGCAGUUUCUCCGGACCGAGAAAGGUGGCCCCUGUGGAAGGAUCUUUUGGGAUGUUCACCCACAGGUGGAGAACCACGGCUUUAGAGAAUCUUCAUACAGCUUUCCUACAGAAACAACGCUGGAUUUUCUUAGAAGCUUUGUAUUCAUUUUCCCCCCUUUUUUGAGAUAGGGUUUCAUUCUGUAGCCCAAGCUAUCCUCAGCCUCGAACUGAUCCUCCUGCCUUGGGCUAUUUAGUGCUAGCAUUACAGGCCUGAUCCACCAAGGUUGGCUCCUCAGAAAUCCUUUGCCGAAGCUCCCGAGAUGAUGACACGAUGCUGCCCCAUGCUUUGGUGUGAUUAGUAAAUGUAAAAAAUGUUAACACAAAGUCAUGGUUUAGGAAAAAAUGUAAUUCGAACAGGCUUUGUGGCUGCAGUUUGGUUCGCUGAGCAGUCUGGCUCUGUAAUAAUUUUGGAUUUUAUUGGUGAAGUUAAGUCUAUAUUUGUGAUUCUUAGGUUUUGAAGUCAGAGAGAGUGAUUCACUGGUAGAACGCUCUGUGGGGGUCUCAGGGUUUGAUCUGCACCACAAAAAAUAAAACUUAAGAAAAGAAAAUGGG
This 636-nucleotide long non-coding RNA is filed under the name Rattus norvegicus (Norway rat). RNAcentral's name for it is "long non-coding RNA NONRATT017278". Lineage: Eukaryota; Metazoa; Chordata; Mammalia; Rodentia; Muridae. The record is from RNAcentral.